GCCUAGCUAGCGCAGUCUGAAGAGCACGAAUCUGUUGUACACGGGAUCGUGGGUUCGAGUACCGCGUUGGGUG
RNAcentral lists this transfer RNA (73 nucleotides) under Dreissena polymorpha. RNAcentral's name for it is "tRNA-Asn". The record is from RNAcentral. Lineage: Eukaryota; Metazoa; Mollusca; Bivalvia; Myida; Dreissenidae.